This 253-nucleotide ribosomal RNA is filed under the name uncultured bacterium. Its description in RNAcentral is "partial 16S ribosomal RNA". It matches the Rfam family "Bacterial small subunit ribosomal RNA", at positions 524 to 776 of the family's 1533-position model. The record is from RNAcentral.
UACGUAGGGGGCGAGCGUUGUCCGGAAUGAUUGGGCGUAAAGGGCGCGUAGGCGGCUGAUUAAGUCUGGAGUGGAAGUCCUAUUUUCAAGGUAGGAAUUGCUUUGGAAACUGAUCAGCUUGAGUGCAGGAGAGGUUAUCGGAAUUCCCGGUGUAGCGGUGAAAUGCGUAGAGAUCGGGAGGAACACCAGUGGCGAAGGCGGGUAACUGGACUGCAACUGACGCUGAGGCGCGAAAGUGUGGGGAGCAAACAGG